UGGGCCGCUAGCUCAGCAGGCAGAGCACCGCCCUUUUAAGGCGGGUGUCGUUGGUUCGAAUCCAACGCGGCUCAUUUU
RNAcentral lists this transfer RNA (78 nucleotides) under Thermodesulfovibrio yellowstonii DSM 11347. RNAcentral describes it as "tRNA-Lys". It matches the Rfam family "tRNA". From Rfam's summary of the family: Transfer RNA (tRNA) molecules are approximately 80 nucleotides in length. Their secondary structure includes four short double-helical elements and three loops (D, anti-codon, and T loops). Lineage: Bacteria; Pseudomonadati; Nitrospirota; Thermodesulfovibrionia; Thermodesulfovibrionales; Thermodesulfovibrionaceae. The record is from RNAcentral.